Molecule: ribosomal RNA, 492 nt
Filed under: uncultured bacterium
Lineage: Bacteria
Description: partial 16S ribosomal RNA
Rfam family: Bacterial small subunit ribosomal RNA
Source: RNAcentral
AGUGAACGCUGGCGGUAGGCCUAACACAUGCAAGUCGAACGGCAGCACAGUAAGAGCUUGCUCUUACGGGUGGCGAGUGGCGGACGGGUGAGGAAUACAUCGGAAUCUACUUUUUCGUGGGGGAUAACGUAGGGAAACUUACGCUAAUACCGCAUACGACCUACGGGUGAAAGCAGGGGAUCUUCGGUCCUUGCGCGAUUGAAUGAGCCGAUGUCGGAUUAGCUAGUUGGCGGGGUAAAGGCCCACCAAGGCGACGAUCCGUAGCUGGUCUGAGAGGAUGAUCAGCCACACUGGAACUGAGACACGGUCCAGACUCCUACGGGAGGCAGCAGUGGGGAAUAUUGGACAAUGGGCGCAAGCCUGAUCCAGCCAUACCGCGUGGGUGAAGAAGGCCUUCGGGUUGUAAAGCCCUUUUGUUGGGAAAGAAAAGCAGCAGGUUAAUACCCCGCUGCUCUGACGGUACCCAAAGAAUAAGCACCGGCUAACUUCGUG